UACGUAGGGAGCAAGCGUUGUCCGGACUCAUUGGGCGUACAGCGCGCGUAGGUGGCCUCGUAAGUCCGCUGUGAAAGUCAAAGGCUCAACCUUUGAAAGCCGGUGGAUACUGUGGGGCUAGAGUACGGAAGAGGCGAGUGGAAUUCCUGGUGUAGCGGUGGAAUGCGCAGAUAUCAGGAGGAACACCAAUAGCGAAGGCAGCUCGCUGGGACGUUACUGACACUGAGGCGCGAAAGCGUGGGGAGCGAACAGG
This 253-nucleotide ribosomal RNA is filed under the name uncultured bacterium. Its description in RNAcentral is "partial 16S ribosomal RNA". It matches the Rfam family "Bacterial small subunit ribosomal RNA", at positions 524 to 776 of the family's 1533-position model. The record is from RNAcentral.